ACCGAGGAGUUGUCCGUGCAAGUCGGACCAUUUUGACACCCAACAGCUAGCCUUCCCACCCAAACUAAUCAAACCC
RNAcentral lists this transfer RNA (76 nucleotides) under Betta spilotogena. RNAcentral's name for it is "tRNA-Val". The record is from RNAcentral. Lineage: Eukaryota; Metazoa; Chordata; Actinopteri; Anabantiformes; Osphronemidae.